This 461-nucleotide ribosomal RNA is filed under the name Klebsiella pneumoniae subsp. pneumoniae. RNAcentral's name for it is "bacterial SSU rRNA". It matches the Rfam family "Bacterial small subunit ribosomal RNA", at positions 338 to 796 of the family's 1533-position model. Lineage: Bacteria; Pseudomonadati; Pseudomonadota; Gammaproteobacteria; Enterobacterales; Enterobacteriaceae. The record is from RNAcentral.
CCUAUGGGAGGCAGCAGUGAGGAAUAUUGGUCAAUGGACGCGAGUCUGAACCAGCCAAGUAGCGUGAAGGAUGACUGCCCUAUGGGUUGUAAACUUCUUUUAUAUGGGAAUAAAGUGGUCCACGUGUGGCCUUUUGUAUGUACCAUAUGAAUAAGGAUCGGCUAACUCCGUGCCAGCAGCCGCGGUAAUACGGAGGAUCCGAGCGUUAUCCGGAUUUAUUGGGUUUAAAGGGAGCGUAGGCCGGAGAUUAAGCGUGUUGUGAAAUGUAGACGCUCAACGUCUGCACUGCAGCGCGAACUGGUUUCCUUGAGUACGCACAAAGUGGGCGGAAUUCGUGGUGUAGCGGUGAAAUGCUUAGAUAUCACGAAGAACUCCGAUUGCGAAGGCAGCUCACUGGAGUGUAACUGACGCUGAUGCUCGAAAGUGUGGGUAUCAAACAGGAUUAGAUACCCUCGUAGUCC